RNAcentral lists this long non-coding RNA (423 nucleotides) under Nicotiana benthamiana. Its description in RNAcentral is "long non-coding RNA (NBEN_LNC033379)". Lineage: Eukaryota; Viridiplantae; Streptophyta; Magnoliopsida; Solanales; Solanaceae. The record is from RNAcentral.
GUAUCUAAUACAAAAUUUCAAAUUCAAGUUUUGAACGAUCUCAAUAAUUAUAUGAAUGCAAAUUUCAUCCACAAUAAAAUAAUAUCAACAUUCAAACGAUUUGACUAUUGCACAAGGCACAUUUAUUAUGGUUUGAACUUUUCAAAUAUAAUAUUAUAAUAUUUCGUAAUAAAUUUUAGACACAAUAAACCACGGCUCUGAUACCACUGAAAGGAUUGCGUAUGGGUGUUCGUAACAUGCAGCGGAAGACAAUAACAAUCCUAGGUAGAUUUUUCAUGUUUAAUAUUUAUUUACGUGUCAAAGAUAGGAUCUAAGACGUACCUGGUGAAGAGAGUCUCGUUUCAAAAUUCUUCGAUAGUGCGAAGACUCUAUGCGUAUCCACACCGAUACCGAUCCUUGCUAUCAACUCUUUGAUCAAUGAAA